Molecule: ribosomal RNA, 425 nt
Filed under: uncultured Alteromonadaceae bacterium
Lineage: Bacteria; Pseudomonadati; Pseudomonadota; Gammaproteobacteria; Alteromonadales; Alteromonadaceae
Description: bacterial SSU rRNA
Rfam family: Bacterial small subunit ribosomal RNA
Source: RNAcentral
GGGGAAUAUUGCACAAUGGGGGAAACCCUGAUGCAGCCAUGCCGCGUGUGUGAAGAAGGCCUUCGGGUUGUAAAGCACUUUCAGUUGUGAGGAAAGGUUGGUAGUUAAUACCUGCCAGCUGUGACGUUAACAACAGAAGAAGCACCGGCUAACUCCGUGCCAGCAGCCGCGGUAAUACGGAGGGUGCGAGCGUUAAUCGGAAUUACUGGGCGUAAAGCGCACGCAGGCGGUUUGUUAAGCUAGAUGUGAAAGCCCCGGGCUCAACCUGGGAUGGUCAUUUAGAACUGGCAGACUAGAGUCUUGGAGAGGGGAGUGGAAUUCCAGGUGUAGCGGUGAAAUGCGUAGAUAUCUGGAGGAACAUCAGUGGCGAAGGCGGCUCCCUGGCCAAAGACUGACGCUCAUGUGCGAAAGUGUGGGUAGCGAAC